UAACACAUGCAAGUCGAACGAAGCACUUCAUAAAGCUUGCUUUAAGAAGUGACUUAGUGGCGGACGGGUGAGUAACGCGUGGGUAACCUGCCUUACACAGGGGGAUAACAGUUAGAAAUGACUGCUAAUACCGCAUAAAACAGCAGAGUCGCAUGACUCAACUGUCAAAGAUUUAUCGGUGUAAGAUGGACCCGCGUCUGAUUAGCUAGUUGGUGGGGUAACGGCCUACCAAGGCGACGAUCAGUAGCCGGCCUGAGAGGGUGAACGGCCACAUUGGGACUGAGACACGGCCCAAACUCCUACGGGAGGCAGCAGUGGGGAAUAUUGGACAAUGGGCGAAAGCCUGAUCCAGCGACGCCGCGUGAGCGAUGAAGUAUUUCGGUAUGUAAAGCUCUAUCAGCAGGGAAGAAAACGA
This 415-nucleotide ribosomal RNA is filed under the name uncultured bacterium. RNAcentral describes it as "bacterial SSU rRNA". It matches the Rfam family "Bacterial small subunit ribosomal RNA", at positions 49 to 454 of the family's 1533-position model. The record is from RNAcentral.